UACGUAGGGGGCAAGCGUUGUCCGGAAUCAUUGGGCGUAAAGAGCGCGUAGGCGGUCCGGUAAGUCCGCUCUGAAAGUCCGGGGCUCAACCCCGGGAGGCGGGCGGAUACUGUCGGGCUAGAGUCCGGAAGAGGCGAGUGGAAUUCCUGGUGUAGCGGUGAAAUGCGCAGAUAUCAGGAGGAACACCGAUGGCGAAGGCAGCUCGCUGGGACGGUACUGACGCUGAGGCGCGAAAGCUAGGGGAGCAAACAGG
Molecule: ribosomal RNA, 253 nt
Filed under: uncultured bacterium
Lineage: Bacteria
Description: partial 16S ribosomal RNA
Rfam family: Bacterial small subunit ribosomal RNA
Source: RNAcentral